Long non-coding RNA from Onychomys torridus (southern grasshopper mouse), 981 nucleotides. RefSeq lists it as uncharacterized. The record is from RefSeq and is a predicted model, not a curated record. The transcript has 4 exons. Lineage: Eukaryota; Metazoa; Chordata; Mammalia; Rodentia; Cricetidae.
ACCCAGGGCUUUGCAGACCUCAGCUGACUCUCCCCGAGAGCGUCCGGCCUUGGCCCCGUAACCACGGAAACCGGCUGUACUCAGGACCGCGACUUCUUCGGUGGAAAGGACAAACCUGCCCCCAACGUUGCCCUUGGGGGCUGCAGGCUGAAGGACGAGCGCUGCGAGGUCGCGGCCCGCCGGGCACCAGACUACACAGCUUCGGGCAUCUUCUGGGGAGAAUUCUUAUGUUGCGGUCCUUUCGGCCACAGGCCUGUAAACUGACCCUAUGUUCCCUAUGUGCCAUUAACUCAAACUCCUUGGGAACCGAUGAGCGGAGACAAAAGGCGUCCCUGGCGAGCAACCCGGAAGUGCUACCCGUUCUGGUCCAUUAUUGGGCCCGCGUGCAGCACAGUCUUCUGGGUAAUGUAGUUUUUAAACGUUUUUCCCACUACGUCCGACCAAACCGGGAGCUCUUCACCCAAUAAGUUACUUGCAGUGUGAAAGGCGCUCAAAGGUCCCAGUUUCUCUCAAAUGCGGAGAAAUCUAGAGGACAGAGUUUGUGGGGAAGGACCCAGGAACAAGGGUAAAAUCGCGUUCUUCGUCCGGGGAAAUCGAGGCUUGGGAGAUACUUCCUACCAAGAUUGUUUUCUAAGUUGAUGACAGAAAAUGGAGCUUAACAUUUUUCGUGGGGAGGAUGCUGGAAGCCUCUCCUCAACGUAUUAUUCCACCAUUCAUCCUUACCGUCUUAGGUCUUUUGUGGCCCCAAACAGCCUCCACACAGGCACGGACUUCUGGGUCACUAGAUCAUUGGAUUUGCGGUCUCCUGAUGUGUGAAGGCUCUAACGCCAGCCAUGGCGAUGGUUUCCUGUGAUUUCAGCACUUGAGAAGUGGAGAUAGAAGGAUCAGGAGUUUGAAGUCAUACUCAGCCCUAUAUUCCAAGCGAAUCUUCCUCCCCAAGGUUGUCUUGACUUGAAAAGAAGAAGAAAUGAAUGAUUCCAA